This 1587-nucleotide long non-coding RNA is filed under the name Piliocolobus tephrosceles (Ugandan red Colobus). Its description in RNAcentral is "lncRNA (ENSPTEG00000023551.1)". Lineage: Eukaryota; Metazoa; Chordata; Mammalia; Primates; Cercopithecidae. The record is from RNAcentral.
AAAUACAUGCGUAUAUGUAUUUUUUUUUAUAUUUAAUUUUUGAAAAUACAACUAAUUUUUUUUUUUUUUUUUUGCAAAAAAAGUUUUUAAAACACGUUUUUUUGAAUUAUUUAUUGGUAUAUAUAUAUAUAUAUAUAUAUGUAUAUAUGUAUAUAUGUAUAUUUAUACAUGUGUAUGAAAAUGUGAAUGUUAAUAGGAGAAUAGCAUAUACAUGCUGAGGAAAAACACAAAAUUAUUAAUCUAAUUCAAUUUAUUUUUAAUAGUAAAAAAAAAUAAAUAAAAAAAAAAUAAAAUAAAAACAUAUAAUUGGCACAUAUAACCUUUCGUAUAAAUUUUCAUAUUUUAAUAUAAAAAAUUUUAAAGAUAGUUUCACUUAUAAGUUUAAGAGUAUCAUAUAAAUAAAAGUAAUAAAUAUUUUCAACGAUCUAAUUAAAUUUUUUAAGUCUUUUUUAUAUAAAAAUAAGACUAAAAAAAAAAAAAAAGACUAAAAAAAAAAAAAUAAGACUAAAAAAAAAAAAAAAAAAAAAUGAUUUUAUUACAACUAACAGUGCUUGGUUAUCUAAACACAGGAAAAACAUCUUUAAUCAAUUCCAUUAUGAAUAAUAACGUUGUUACAAAUUACAUUCAUACGGAUAUGCCUACGUAAUACAUACAUAUAUACAUAUAUAUAUAUAUAAAUACUUAAACGUAUAUAGAUAGACGCAUAAACAUAUGUAUGUAUGUGUGCAUGUACACACGCACGUAUACAUUUUAACUUAUAACAUACAAAAUUUGUAUAUUAUAUUUUUAAGGAUUUACUAUAAAGUACACCGAGAUGAAAUGAGAAGCUUUUGUGUUGAAAUAGAAGAUACAUCUGUUGAUAUAGAUAUAAAUAUAUUUAUGGACAUGAUAAGAAAAGAAUUGACAAUUGAUAAAAAUAGUAUAAAAAAUCCAGUUUUUAGUAUUUUUGAAAAACCUUCAAUUCCGUUUACUCCAGAUAAUAAAUACAACUCAAUUAGCUACGGACGAAUGGCAUAUUUUUUAGUAUUCGAUCUUACAAAUGAAGAAACAUUUGAAUAUGUUAAGACAAUUUAUUUAAACAUGUCAAAUAUUUAUGAUAAAUAUUAUUCUCUAAAGCCGUUUAUAUCUCUUGUUGGAAAUAAAUCAGAUUUGGUAAAAGAAGAUUGUGAAUUAGUUAGGCAAGCAGAACACUUCGCGACCGAACACUUGGUACAAUUAUGGCUCGUAUCAUCGCUUACAGGGAAAAAUGUUAAGAAGGUAAGAACAUUUUUUUUUUUUUUUUUUAAAUCAUAUAACGUAGAAGUGAUCUAUAACGUAGAAGUGAUCAGUUGCAAUAUAAUAAAAAUAGUGAUAUAAUUACUUAAGUUGAAAAAUUAUAAAUAUAAAAUUAUUCAAUUUUUUUUUUUUUCCAUUUCUUUUUAUUAUUUUUAGUUAUUCUUACAUAUGGUUAACAUGGUUUUCAAUAACACGAAUUUGUGGAAAUACGAUAUGGAAGAUGUAAUAUAUACAUAUACAUGUAUUUACGUUUACACAUAUAUAUAUAUUUACAUGUACAUAUAUGAAUGAAUAAACAUUUCCUCCCCCCCA